AUGUGCGGCAGGGCCAGGUGUACCCUCAGCGCGGCCCAGGCAGCCAGGGCCUUUGGCUUCCCGACCGCCACCUCCGCCGGCGGCGGCGGCGACGGAGGAGGAGACGCCCCCGCCGUACGGACGCUCCAGAUGGACCGGUUCCGGCCGUCGUACAACGUGACGCCGGGGGCGUAUCUGCCGGUGGGGACCCUGCGAGCGCGGGCGGCGGGCGGCGAAGGAGGUGCGGAGGAGCAAGGGCCGGUUAUCCAGUGCAUGAAGUGGGGGCUCGUCCCCAGCUUCUCAAGCAAGACCGACAAGCCCGACCAUUUCAGGAUGUUCAAUGCCAGAUCAGAGUCUAUAAAGGAAAAGGCUUCGUUUAGGCGACUUAUCCCGAAGAAUAGAUGUCUUGUUGCAGUAGAAGGGUUCUAUGAGUGGAAAAAGGAUGGAUCCAAAAAGCAACCAUAUUACAUUCAUUUCCAGGAUGAGAGGCCUCUUGUGUUUGCUGCCCUCUUUGACACUUGGACAAAUUCAGAAGGAGAGACCCUCCAUACAUUUACUAUUUUGACUACCCAUGUUUCAACUUCUUUGAAAUGGCUUCAUGAUAGAAUGCCGGUAAUCUUGGGCGAUGAAGACUCUGUUAAUGCUUGGUUGAACAAUAGCUCCGUGAAGCUGGAAGAAAUAACUGUACCCUAUGAAGGAACUGAUUUAGUUUGGUAUCCAGUGACAACUGCAAUGGGCAAAACAUCAUUUCAGGGUCCUGAUUGCAUCAAAGAGGUGAAAAUAGGACCCAGUGAAAAGCCAAUUUCAAAUUUCUUCACCAAGAAAGCAGCCGCACCAGUGAAGUCAGAGAAGGCAUCAGGAGAGUUUGCAGAAACACAAGCUUUCAAGACGGCGAAAGAGGAGCGCGAUGAUGAUUCAGGUGAAAACCCAUCAAACAAAACAGAGCAACACCACCAGGCUUCUCUAGAGAAGCAAAGUGCUUCAAGUACAGUAGUUAAGAAUGAACCUGUUACUUUGGAUCCACAAGUUUUCUAUAAAGCCGAUGAAGGUAUUAAGAAAGAAGACGGGAUGCUGCCCGACGAUCCAGUCGAGGAGCGAGAUCCUUUCGGCAUCAAGAGGAAGAUAGAGGACGCUGGAGUCGAGGCGGAGAUGGAGAUGGGGAAGAGUGGGAGAUCGCCGGUCACCCCUGUGAGGAAAAAGGAGAAGGGCCCAAAGGAUGGGCAAGCGUCGCUGUUUUCCUACUUUGCAAAGAAGUAG
RNAcentral lists this ribosomal RNA (1236 nucleotides) under Triticum aestivum (bread wheat). RNAcentral describes it as "partial small subunit ribosomal RNA". Lineage: Eukaryota; Viridiplantae; Streptophyta; Magnoliopsida; Poales; Poaceae. The record is from RNAcentral.